GUAACUGCGAGUGAAGCGGGAAAAGCUCAAAUUUAAAAUCUGACGGUCUUUGGCCGUCCGAGUUGUAGUCUGGAGAAGUGCUUUCCGCGCUGGACCGUGUACAAGUCUCUUGGAACAGAGCGUCAUAGAGGGUGAGAAUCCCGUCUUUGACACGGACUACCAGUGCUUUGUGAUGCGCUCUCAAAGAGUCGAGUUGUUUGGGAAUGCAGCUCAAAAUGGGUGGUAAAUUCCAUCUAAAGCUAAAUAUUGGCGAGAGACCGAUAGCGAACAAGUACCGUGAGGGAAAGAUGAAAAGCACUUUGGAAAGAGAGUUAAACAGUACGUGAAAUUGCUGAAAGGGAAACGCUUGAAGUCAGUCGCGUUGGCCAGGACUCAGCCUUGCUUUUGCUUGGUGCAUUUUCUGGUUGACGGGCCAGCAUCGAUUUUGAUUGCCGGAAAAAGGCUGGAGGAAUGUGGCACCUUCGGGUGUGUUAUAGCCUUCAGUCACAUACGGCGGUUGGGAUCGAGGACCGCAGCACGCCUUUAUUGGCCGGGGUUCGCCCACGUUCGUGCUUAGGAUGCUGGCGUAAUGGCUUUAAACGACCCGUCUUGAAACACGGACCAAGGAGUCUAACAUGCCUGCGAGUGUUUGGGUGGUAAACCCGAGCGCGUAAUGAAAGUGAAAGUUGAGAUCCUUGUCAUGGGGAGCAUCGACGCCCGGACCUGAACUUCGGUGAUGGCUCUGCGGUAGAGCAUGUAUGUUGGGACCCGAAAGAUGGUGAACUAUGCCUGAAUAGGGUGAAGCCAGAGGAAACUCUGGUGGAGGCUCGUAGCGAUUCUGACGUGCAAAUCGAUCGUCAAAUUUGGGUAUAGGGCCGAAAGACUAAUCGAACCAUCUAGUAGCUGGGUCCUGCAG
Molecule: ribosomal RNA, 895 nt
Filed under: Rhodofomes sp.
Lineage: Eukaryota; Fungi; Basidiomycota; Agaricomycetes; Polyporales; Fomitopsidaceae
Description: partial large subunit ribosomal RNA
Rfam family: Eukaryotic large subunit ribosomal RNA
Source: RNAcentral